GACUGGAACGGAACAGGCAGAGGUAAAUAUUCCCGAAAACACGCCCAAUUCUUACUUCCCAUCUCCCGUUCUGAUGACGCCUGUGCAGUGUCUUGAGCAUCUGACGUUAGAUGCAGCUUUGGGGCUACUAGUUAAUGGAGACAUCGAAUCAGUUCUUUUUUCCUUUUUAUUUUGUCUAAUUUAUCAUUCUCUUAGAUGUCAGUCUUUACCUAGUGAUUUGACGGGCAGAGUUACGCUGAAGAAGUUGGAAUGGUUCUUCUCAAAGAAAUCUGUUAAUUUGAAUGGUUCUUCAUUUUUACCAGCGAUUCUCAACAAUUUAUCUAAAUUUCUUAAAAAAUAGGGUCAUCAAACUAGCGCUAAUAA
RNAcentral lists this unclassified non-coding RNA (363 nucleotides) under Zea mays. Its description in RNAcentral is "misc RNA Zm00001eb133250". The record is from RNAcentral. Lineage: Eukaryota; Viridiplantae; Streptophyta; Magnoliopsida; Poales; Poaceae.